UACGUAGGGUACGAGCGUUGUCCGGAAUUAUUGGGCGUAAAGAGCUCGUAGGCGGUGUGUCACGUCGGCCGUGAAAACCUGCAGCUUAACUGUGGGCGUGCGGUCGAUACGGGCAUCACUGGAGUUCGGCAGGGGAGACUGGAAUUCCUGGUGUAGCGGUGAAAUGCGCAGAUAUCAGGAGGAACACCGGUGGCGAAGGCGGGUCUCUGGGCCGAUACUGACGCUGAGGAGCGAAAGCGUGGGGAGCAAACAGG
This 254-nucleotide ribosomal RNA is filed under the name uncultured bacterium. RNAcentral's name for it is "partial 16S ribosomal RNA". It matches the Rfam family "Bacterial small subunit ribosomal RNA", at positions 524 to 776 of the family's 1533-position model. The record is from RNAcentral.